GACGAACGCUGGCGGCGUGCUUAACACAUGCAAGUCGAACGGUAAGGCCCUUCGGGGUACACGAGUGGCGAACGGGUGAGUAACACGUGGGUGAUCUGCCCUGCACUUCGGGAUAAGCCUGGGAAACUGGGUCUAAUACCGGAUAGGACUCCUGGCUUCAUGGUUGGGGGUGGAAAGCUUUUGCGGUGUGGGAUGGGCCCGCGGGCUAUCAGCUUGUUGGGGGGGUAAUGGCCUACCAAGGCGACGACGGGUAGCCGGCCUGAGCGGGUGACCGGUCACACUGGGACUGAGAGACGGCCCAGACUCCUACGGGAGGCAGCAGUGGGGAAUAUUGCACAAUGGGCGCAAGCCUGAUGCAGCGACGCCGCGUGAGGGAUGACGGCCUUCGGGUUGUAAACCUCUUUCAGCUAUGACGAAGCGCAAGUGACGGUAGUAGCAGAAGAAGGACCGGCCAACUACGUGCCAGCCGCCGCCGUAA
This 478-nucleotide ribosomal RNA is filed under the name uncultured bacterium. RNAcentral's name for it is "partial 16S ribosomal RNA". It matches the Rfam family "Bacterial small subunit ribosomal RNA", at positions 28 to 523 of the family's 1533-position model. The record is from RNAcentral.